UCUCUUAAAGUAAAAUUUUACAUUUAAUUUCGACUUAAAAUUUGAUUUUAUUAAAAAUCUUAGAGAG
Molecule: transfer RNA, 67 nt
Filed under: Acropyga arnoldi
Lineage: Eukaryota; Metazoa; Arthropoda; Insecta; Hymenoptera; Formicidae
Description: tRNA-Arg
Source: RNAcentral